GAGACACCCUUAUGGGGCAGAACUUGCUUCAGUGGGGCUUUGGUGCUCACUGAGUCUGCCCCUUGAGUGUGUCGCU
Non-coding RNA from Myotis davidii, 76 nucleotides. The record is from Rfam. Lineage: Eukaryota; Metazoa; Chordata; Mammalia; Chiroptera; Vespertilionidae.